This is a non-coding RNA of Ornithorhynchus anatinus (platypus), 73 nucleotides long. The record is from Rfam. Lineage: Eukaryota; Metazoa; Chordata; Mammalia; Monotremata; Ornithorhynchidae.
AGUAGCGUGGCUUAGUGGUUAGAGCACAGGCCUGGGAGUCAGAAGGACCUGGAUUCUAAUCCCAGCUCUGCCA